GUUUUUAUAGUUGAAGUACAACGAUGGUUUUUCAUACCAGGGGUCUUGGUUUAAGUCCAUGUAAGAACU
This 69-nucleotide transfer RNA is filed under the name Cheirogaleus medius (lesser dwarf lemur). RNAcentral describes it as "tRNA-Glu". It matches the Rfam family "tRNA". Rfam says of the family: Transfer RNA (tRNA) molecules are approximately 80 nucleotides in length. Their secondary structure includes four short double-helical elements and three loops (D, anti-codon, and T loops). The record is from RNAcentral. Lineage: Eukaryota; Metazoa; Chordata; Mammalia; Primates; Cheirogaleidae.